UACGAAGGGGGCUAGCGUUGUUCGGAAUUACUGGGCGUAAAGGGCGCGUAGGCGGUCCUGAUCGUCGGAUGUGAAAGGCCUGGGCUCAACCUGGGAAUGGCAUCCGAUACGGCGGGACUGGAGUGUGGGAGAGGUUGGUGGAAUUCCCAGUGUAGAGGUGAAAUUCGUAGAUAUCGGGAGGAACACCAGUGGCGAAGGCGGCUGCCUGGGCCAGUUCUGACGCUGAGGCGCGAAAGCGUGGGGAGCAAACAGG
This 253-nucleotide ribosomal RNA is filed under the name uncultured bacterium. RNAcentral's name for it is "partial 16S ribosomal RNA". It matches the Rfam family "Bacterial small subunit ribosomal RNA", at positions 524 to 776 of the family's 1533-position model. The record is from RNAcentral.